RNAcentral lists this ribosomal RNA (497 nucleotides) under uncultured bacterium. RNAcentral's name for it is "partial 16S ribosomal RNA". It matches the Rfam family "Bacterial small subunit ribosomal RNA", at positions 28 to 507 of the family's 1533-position model. The record is from RNAcentral.
GACGAACGCUGGCGGCGUGCCUAAUACAUGCGAGUCGAACGCUGAAGAGAGGAGCUUGCUCUUCUUGGAUGAGUUGCGAACGGGUGAGUAACGCGUAGGUAACCUGCCUUGUAGCGGGGGAUAACUAUUGGAAACGAUAGCUAAUACCGCAUAACAAUGGAUGACACAUGUCAUUUAUUUGAAAGGGGCAAUUGCUCCACUACAAGAUGGACCUGCGUUGUAUUAGCUAGUAGGUGAGGUAAUGGCUCACCUAGGCGACGAUACAUAGCCGACCUGAGAGGGUGAUCGGCCACACUGGGACUGAGACACGGCCCAGACUCCUACGGGAGGCAGCAGUAGGGAAUCUUCGGCAAUGGGGGCAACCCUGACCGAGCAACGCCGCGUGAGUGAAGAAGGGUUUCGGAUCGUAAAGCUCUGUUGUAAGUCAAGAACGGGUGUGAGAGUGGAAAGUUCACACUGUGACGGUAGCUUACCAGAAAGGGACGGCUAACUACGUG